CGGUAACAUUUCUAGCUUGCUAGAAGAUGACGAGUGGCGGACGGGUGAGUAAUACUUAGGAAUAUGCCUUUGUGUGGGGGAUAACUAUUGGAAACGAUAGCUAAUACCGCAUAACGUCUUCGGACCAAAGGGGGCUUCGGCUCCCGCGCAAAGAGUAGCCUAAGCGAGAUUAGCUUGUUGGUGAGGUAAAGGCUCACCAAGGCGACGAUCUCUAGCUGUUCUGAGAGGAAGAUCAGCCACACUGGGACUGAGACACGGCCCAGACUCCUACGGGAGGCAGCAGUGGGGAAUAUUGCACAAUGGGGGCAACCCUGAUGCAGCCAUGCCGCGUGUGUGAAGAAGGCCUUCGGGUUGUAAAGCACUUUCAGUUGUGAGGAAAGGUUGAUGGUUAAUACCCAUCAGCUGUGACGUUAGCAACAGAAGAAGCACCGGCUAACUCCGUGCCAGCAGCCGCGGUAAUACGGAGGGUGCGAGCGUUAAUCGGAAUUACUGGGCGUAAAGCGCACGCAGGCGGUUAUAUAAGCUAGAUGUGAAAGCCCCGGGCUCAACCUGGGAAUAGCAUUUAGAACUGUAUGACUAGAGUCUUGGAGAGGGGAGUGGAAUUCCAGGUGUAGCG
This 616-nucleotide ribosomal RNA is filed under the name uncultured bacterium. RNAcentral describes it as "bacterial SSU rRNA". It matches the Rfam family "Bacterial small subunit ribosomal RNA", at positions 67 to 680 of the family's 1533-position model. The record is from RNAcentral.